Molecule: ribosomal RNA, 476 nt
Filed under: uncultured Bacilli bacterium
Lineage: Bacteria; Bacillati; Bacillota; Bacilli
Description: bacterial SSU rRNA
Rfam family: Bacterial small subunit ribosomal RNA
Source: RNAcentral
UUAGCUAGUUGGUGAGGUAACGGCUCACCAAGGCCACGAUGCAUAGCCGACCUGAGAGGGUGAUCGGCCACAUUGGGACUGAGACACGGCCCAAACUCCUACGGGAGGCAGCAGUAGGGAAUCUUCGGCAAUGGACGAAAGUCUGACCGAGCAACGCCGCGUGAGUGAAGAAGGUUUUCGGAUCGUAAAACUCUGUUGUUAGAGAAGAACAAGGAUGAGAGUAGCUGUUCAUCCCUUGACGGUAUCUAACCAGAAAGCCACGGCUAACUACGUGCCAGCAGCCGCGGUAAUACGUAGGUGGCAAGCGUUGUCCGGAUUUAUUGGGCGUAAAGCGAGCGCAGGCGGUUUCUUAAGUCUGAUGUGAAAGCCCCCGGCUCAACCGGGGAGGGUCAUUGGAAACUGGGAGACUUGAGUGCAGAAGAGGAGAGUGGAAUUCCAUGUGUAGCGGUGAAAUGCGUAGAUAUAUGGAGGAACAC